RNAcentral lists this long non-coding RNA (337 nucleotides) under Marmota monax (woodchuck). Lineage: Eukaryota; Metazoa; Chordata; Mammalia; Rodentia; Sciuridae. The record is from RNAcentral.
CAGUGAGGCUGAAUUGGCAUGGCUUGUCAGCACCUCCCUUCCCAGGACAAGAUGGGCGACUUCCUACCAGUAUCAGUUGGACUCUCCCUGGCCUCCUCCCUCGCUGCCUCUGGACUGGGGGCAGGAGGACUUGGCUAUGCAGUAACCGCUACUCAGAAGCUUCAACAACAACUUCGGGAAGCAAUAGAGGCAUCGGCCGCCUCUCUCACUUCCCUACAAAGGCAAAUAACAUCUAUUGCCCAAGUUUCAUUACAGAACCGUCGAGCCCUAGAUCUUCUGAUGACAGACAAAGGAGGAACCUGUCUCUUUCUGAAAGAAGAAUGCUGCUACUAUAUCA